UACGUAGGGUGCAAGCGUUGUCCGGAAUUAUUGGGCGUAAAGAGCUUGUAGGCGGUUUGUCGCGUUUGCUGUGAAAUUUCGGGGCUCAACCCCGAACUUGCAGUGGGUACGGGCAGACUAGAGUGUGGUAGGGGAGACUGGAAUUCCUGGUGUAGCGGUGAAAUGCGCAGAUAUCAGGAGGAACACCGAUGGCGAAGGCAGGUCUCUGGGCCACUACUGACGCUGAGAAGCGAAAGCAUGGGGAGCGAACAGG
Molecule: ribosomal RNA, 253 nt
Filed under: uncultured bacterium
Lineage: Bacteria
Description: partial 16S ribosomal RNA
Rfam family: Bacterial small subunit ribosomal RNA
Source: RNAcentral